CCUACGGGAGGCAGCAGUGAGGAAUAUUGGUCAAUGGACGAGAGUCUGAACCAGCCAAGUAGCAUGAAGGAUGACUGCCCUAUGGGUUGUAAACUUCUUUUAUAUGGGAAUAAAAUGUUCCACGUGUGGGAUUUUGUAUGUACCAUAUGAAUAAGGAUCGGCUAACUCCGUGCCAGCAGCCGCGGUAAUACGGAGGAUCCGAUCGUUAUCCGGAUUUAUUGGGUUUAAAGGGAGCGUAGGUGGAUUGUUAAGUCAGUUGUGAAAGUUUGCGGCUCAACCGUAAAAUUGCAGUUGAAACUGGCAGUCUUGAGUACAGUAGAGGUGGGCGGAAUUCGUGGUGUAGCGGUGAAAUGCUUAGAUAUCACGAAGAACUCCGAUUGCGAAGGCAGUUCACUGGACUGCAACUGACACUGAGGCUCGAAAGUGUGGGUAUCAAACAGGAUUAGAUACCCGAGUAGUC
RNAcentral lists this ribosomal RNA (460 nucleotides) under uncultured bacterium. RNAcentral's name for it is "partial 16S ribosomal RNA". It matches the Rfam family "Bacterial small subunit ribosomal RNA", at positions 338 to 795 of the family's 1533-position model. The record is from RNAcentral.